CCUACGGGCGGCAGCAGUGAGGAAUAUUGGUCAAUGGGCGCUAGCCUGAACCAGCCAAGUAGCGUGAAGGAUGACUGCCCUAUGGGUUGUAAACUUCUUUUAUAUGGGAAUAAAGUGCAGUAUGUAUACUGCUUUGCAUGUACCUUAUGAAUAAGGAUCGGCUAACUCCGUGCCAGCAGCCGCGGUAAUACGGAGGAUUCGAGCGUUAUCCGGAUUUAUUGGGUCUAAAGGGAGCGUAGGCGGGUUGUUAAGUCAGUUGUGAAAGUUUGGGGCUCAACCGUAAAAUUGCAGUUGAUACUGGAAUUCUUGAGUACAGUAGAGGUAGGCGGAAUUCGUGGUGUAGCGGUGAAAUGCGUAGAUAUAUGGAAGAACACCAGUGGCGAAGGCGGCUCUCUGGUCUGUAACUGACGCUGAGGUUCGAAAGCGUGGGUAGCAAACAGGAUUAGAUACCCCAGUAGUC
Molecule: ribosomal RNA, 460 nt
Filed under: uncultured bacterium
Lineage: Bacteria
Description: partial 16S ribosomal RNA
Rfam family: Bacterial small subunit ribosomal RNA
Source: RNAcentral